AUUGAACGCUGGCGGCAGGCCUAACACAUGCAAGUCGAGCGAGCGGCGGACGGGUGAGUAAUGUAUGGGGACUGCCCGAUAGAGGGGGAUAACUACUGGAAACGGUAGCUAAUACCGCAUACUAUCGGAUAACCCAUAUGGGAUUAGCUAGUAGGUGGGGUAAUGUCUCACCUAGGCGACGAUCCCUAGCUGGUCUGAGAGGAUGAUCAGCCACCGUGGGACUGAGACACGGGCCAGACUCCAUCGGAGGCAGCAGUGGGGAAUAUUGCACAAUGGGAGCAAGCCGGAUGCAGCCAUGCCGCGUGUAUGAAGAAGGCCCUAGGGUUGUAAAGUACUUUCAGUCGGGAGGCGUUACCGACAGAAGAAGCACCGGCUAACUCCGUGCCAGCAGCCGCGGUAAUUC
RNAcentral lists this ribosomal RNA (403 nucleotides) under uncultured bacterium. Its description in RNAcentral is "partial 16S ribosomal RNA". It matches the Rfam family "Bacterial small subunit ribosomal RNA", at positions 30 to 526 of the family's 1533-position model. The record is from RNAcentral.